Long non-coding RNA from Panicum virgatum (switchgrass), 3709 nucleotides. RefSeq lists it as uncharacterized. Lineage: Eukaryota; Viridiplantae; Streptophyta; Magnoliopsida; Poales; Poaceae. The transcript has 2 exons. The record is from RefSeq and is a predicted model, not a curated record.
UACAUGUGGUGGGCCCCACAUGUUUGUUGCUUUUUGGGUUCCUCUAACCAUUCCUUCGUUUUCCCCUUUCUCUGUUUCUCCAUCUGGAGCUGAGGCGUUCCCACCCCAGGAGCUCAGGUUACCGCGAUUCGAAUAUUUCCUCCCUUGCUGUUCUUAUUCCCUUGUAUUUUUUUCAUGUUUUUGCUCUGCUGUUUGGCUGAUUUUGAUCGAUUGCUGCUGUGCUUUGGUCCUGUAGUUGUUCCUCAUCAAAACUCAUUCCGUUCUCUGUUCAUGAGAUUAGUUUAGUCGAUAUGAUGUUUGGUUUUAUUCAGCUUGACCCCGGCCACUCUGUUCGGUUGUGUAGCUUCGUCUGUUCUCUGUAGCGUUGCUCUGUAGUCUGAUUUCUCGAUCUAAAUUGAUUUGUUUGAUUUUGUUGCUAUAGAUCUACUUAAUCUGUAUGUUCACCCACUUGAAUCAUAGUUGGAUUUGACUGCUUAGGGCUAGCUCGUUUGUGAUUUAUUAUUUGGAUACUUUUUCCCCCUUUGUCGAGUCGCUGAAUGAUCGUAGGUGGGGCUGAACAUUUUUUUAGACUUUUGGAAUGCAUUGCUUUCGAGCUACAUCAUCUGAACACUUCGUUCUCUGCUGAGCACAUGAGUGCCAGUUGAGGAGAAAUUGUGUAGGAUUUAGAUUAUUUUCCUUUUAUACGCCUAAGAUUGGUGAUUUGUGGCUCUGGCUCUGAUUUUAGUUGAUUCAUUGAAGGAUGAUUGCCCAUCCAUUUCUGUUGGUUGGAGUUUAUUCUUAUUCCAUGUCAAUUGCACAGCACAUGUUUCAUGUUUGUUUUAGGUUUGAAUCCGUUUGUUCUGAGUUCUAUAUGCCUGCAUUUGAUUGGGGUUUGGUUACUUUGUUUCUCGACUAAUGCUUCAACUUGUAUUCCAUUUGACCAUUUCAUUAUUGGCUAGUAAGCUUGAUUGUUCAUGUUCUACUGUUUCAGCUACCACUAUCGAUUUCAAAUUUCAUGGGCCAGUUGGUUUCGCACGUAGAUCUGUGACUCUUUCCAGUAGCUUUGUAUAUGGUUGUGUACUUUGAGGAAACAACCUUAUUUCAGUUCAUUUAUAAUGAAUGUGGUUAUAGUUUUUCUCUUCCUCUCAAUUUUUUCUGUAUAUUCAACCAGAAUGCAUAGAUAGCAGGAUAUGCUAGUUUCUCCUAUGUAGGGAUAAUCGCUAUAGAAGGAUUUUGAACCGGUAUAGCAGUGAUAUACCAGACUGUAUAAUGAAGAGCAUAAGCUACUGAUAAUGAAGAAACUGGAGCACCAUGCUUAGUAGAAAGGGGGAUCUAUCACAGUAUAUAUCAUUGCAUGGGAGAGGUAACAUAUGUUGUUGUGAAUUGAAAUGAAGGUACCUGGGAAUGUUAAUAUACAAAAAUAGGAGAAGCGCUGGUCUGCUAUUUGUCUUCUCAAUUUCAUCAAUCUUUAAUAUGAUUUUUCACUUUUUACACAUGUUUCUAGUUUCUUCAAUAUUCAUGUCUAUAAUAGUUCUGCAAUUAUAGUUUGGUGAAAACCUAGAGAGCAUCUGGGUGUUUCUUUUGUCCUCACCAAGAAAUUUUAUACAUGUGCGAUCGGCUGCUAUUAUAGGUUCAGAUACAGUUAACUUGCUCUAAUUUUACAGUGAAAUUGUAACCGUCAAUUUUCUAUUCCUAAUCUGUAAUUAGAGAGCAAUAUAAAUGCAAGUAAAUCACCUCAAAUACAUUGUUGCCUAAUACCAAUUCAGUGAAUGGCUGCGGUACCACCUGAGGAUCUGAUAAAAGUUUAAUGUCAGCCAACUUACAUCAACUAUAUGCUACAUUUACAUGAGUUUCUGUACUGUCAUUUCAAAGUAACUAUGGUGUAAGUUAUUACUCCCUUGUAUGUAUUUCCUGUUAAAAUGAGUUAUGUCCUGAUGUUUUAGAUGUGAAUCUUUUUUAAAUUUUAGUUUUUAGAAUUUGACAGUACUGUUUUUUACAUUAUCAUUUUAACAUAACCAAUGUGUCAGUCAUUACCCAUUUGUAAUGGAUUUUAAUGUCAAAAUAGCUCUGCAAUUAUAGUUUGGUAAAACCUAGAGCACAUUUGGGUAUUUCUUUUGUCCUCACCAAGAAAUUUUGUACAUGUGCGAUCAGCUGCUAUUAUAGGUUCAGAUACAGUUAACUUGCUCUAAUUUUACAGUGAAAUUGUAACCGUUAAUUUUCUAUUCCUAAACUGUAAUUAGAGAGCAAUAUAAAUGUAUGUCCAGAUAUGUGUUUAAUUUAUUAGCAUGGGUGAUGAUAAUCUAUAUUUAUGUUCCAUUUAUCUUUUUUUUUUUGCAGAUUCAUUUCUUUUAAUUAAUCUUUUCUCUCAUCUCUAUGCUGCUGUUCAUUUCUAUAUUUGUAUAUACUCAAUCGUUUUAUCAUUUUAGGGAAAUAUCUUAUUUCUAGAGAUUUAGAGCUUUAGCUAGCGCUGUUUGCAGCAAACUUCACUUAAAUGUAUUACACAUUUGUCAAGAUACGUGCUUCUCCUCAAGGUUGUAUUCUUCAUUAGAUGGGAAGUAGAUGAACUAUAUGUUUUCCUCAAAGAUAUAGUUUAAAAUUCAGUUGACCUCUUAUGUUAUAGCUCCUUGAUAAUUCAUAGUGUUAUUACUUACUAUGCAUUUGCUCUAUAAUUAUGGUGCCAUGACUAGUGUAAUUUGUACAUAAUGUAUAUGUAAUAGUCCACUAUAUUUGUAUAUGCCUAUUUGCCAUAUGCAUCUGUAGGGUUUCACUCAUUACCCAAACUAUCUGUUGUUUGAUAGACUAUAAAAAAUUCUGAACAUUUGAUAUUUUUCAAAUUUGUCAUUUGUAUUUUAGGAUUUCAAUUUGGACCCAAACUAUCUGUAAUUUGACAUGGCAUAGAAUCUAGAUUUUUUUUUUAUUUCAAGAUUAAGAUUUCAUUUCUACUUGCAGCUGAGAAGGCCUCUGGUCAGUUCUUUUGUUGCUUUUAUAUCCUUCCCUAUAAAUUCCUUUUCUUAUGAAUCUAGAAUCGAUCUGAUAUACUUCUUUGUCUUUCUAGUGUAAUGAUGGAUUUUAUCCAUCUGAAUGUUUGACUAGAUCUGAUUAUAUUCAUUACAUCUGAAAGUUUCUAUUAUUGUUUGAAAGUGAUUCAUUACAUGUAUCUGAAAGGCAUUCUCAUUUUUGUGCUGCCUGUUAAUUUCCAGUUGCAGGAUCAAUCAACUUAUGUUUAUGUUUUCCACAUUAUUGGCAUCCAAAUUGGUGAGGAUAGUGACUCGCACAGUUAAAGAAGCAUGUGGUGUUCCAACUGUGGCUAUGUGCCGGAGUGUGGAUGUGUCUACGACGUUAGAGAAGCUAAAAUCAUUUUUGCAACUCUUGUGAAUGCCAACCUCCAACCCUGCAAAUCAAGAACCAUGUUCAGACUGUGGUCAGGAGACUGGGCAUCUGAAGAUAUUUUCAGCUCUGCAGCCAUUAAGCACUCUUUUUCUUGUUUCAAGUGAUGUGAAAGUGGCAAAUACAAUCUGAUGAAUAUAUUUGGUGCUAGAGUUUCUCGUGUGUGAGCCUAUAAAAUUUUGUUAGCUUCUGAUCAACAGCCUAUGAAACUUUGUUAGCUUAUUAUCAGCUUUGAACCUAGAGAUGCAGAGUCCAUGCACAAGUUCAGUCAUAUUCUAUUUUCUAAUCUGACUGUAAUACGACUAUUUUUAACUGAUGAACCAAAUUCAGAAUAUGAUGUUUU